RNAcentral lists this long non-coding RNA (454 nucleotides) under Physcomitrium patens. Its description in RNAcentral is "long non-coding RNA (PPAT_LNC001128)". The record is from RNAcentral. Lineage: Eukaryota; Viridiplantae; Streptophyta; Bryopsida; Funariales; Funariaceae.
UGAUGAGGACAUGGGCGUGACUUACGAGGAGCUCGGAAUGUAUGAACGCUUGAGAGACAUAUUCCGUUAUGGGUGUGUGGGACGUUCCCUUUGUGCAGAGAAUAUUCAUUGCCCGCUCUUUGGUGAUGCACAGUUCGCGCAAGCUCGGAAAGAUCAUUCUGCUCUUUAGUUUUUAACCCCUUUUGUUUCUGCGAUUACUCGAGUUUCUAGAAAUGUUCAGCACCUUUGAUAGUUUCAACAAGUUUGUAUGCAUCUAGACUUUGAAUGAACACGAUUGGAAGGUGUCCAAGGCUUUUUGGAUAGUCCCUCUUUGUCUUCAAAGACGAACGCAGAUUUGAAAUGGGUCAUGUGGGAACUAGAUUGUAAUUGUUCCAGAGACGUUAUUUUGAACAAGAAUUCUCAUCAUCACAGUACCAAAGAACCAACAAGAGUAACAAAGGGUGCUAACGUUGCA